This 497-nucleotide ribosomal RNA is filed under the name uncultured bacterium. Its description in RNAcentral is "partial 16S ribosomal RNA". It matches the Rfam family "Bacterial small subunit ribosomal RNA", at positions 28 to 507 of the family's 1533-position model. The record is from RNAcentral.
GAUGAACGCUGGCGGCGUGCCUAAUACAUGCAAGUCGAGCGGACAGACGAGGAGCUUGCUCCGCUGACGUUAGCGGCGGACGUGUGAGUAACACGUGGAUAACCUACCUGUAAGACGGGGAUAACUUCGGAAAACCGGAUCUAAUCCCGUAGAAUAUAUUGCACCGCAGGGUGCGUUAGUAAGAGACGGUGUUGCUGGCACUUAUAGAGGGAUCCGCGCCGCAUGGGAUGGUUGUGAAGGUAACGGCUUACCAAGGCAACGAUGCGUAGCCGACCUGAGAGGGGGAUAGGCGACCCUGGAACUGGGACACGGUCAAGACUCCUACGGGAGGCAGCAGUAGGGAAUGUUCCGCAACGGGGGAAAGCAUGACGGAGUAACCCCGAGCGAGUGAUGAAGGUGUCGCGAUCGUAAAACCCUGUUACUAGGGAAGAACCAAUGUGUCAGUAAAUAUGCACGUAUUGACGGUAACUAAUAAGAAAGCACCGGCUAACUACGUG